UAUGUCCCCAAUUCAGGCCAUAGUCGUGUAAUUCCCUGAUCCAGUAUACCGAAGAUCUACAAUGGGUAAAAACACUCCCUGGGGCACAGCUUCUUGAUGGGUGGUGGAGAGACUCUGAAUGUCGCAUAAUACUCCCCGAAAAACUAGGAGAAAGAGUAUUACAAAAAAUCCACCACAGCACCCGCCUAGGCACCAGGAGGAUGCAGGACUUACUGAGACAGACGAAACUACGAAUAAAAGAGGCCCCCAGCAAAAUUGACCAAAUUGUUGCCAAAUGCAAAGUCUGUCAACUCACUAAUGCAGGAAAGAACGCUCAAAACCCAGGAGCAAGACAGUGAGGGGACAAGCCGGGAUUCUAUUGGGAAGUAGAUUUCACUGAAGUAAAACCGGGAAAAUAUGGGUAUAAAUAUUUACUAGUUUUCAUAGACACCUUUUCAGGAUGGGUCGAGGCCUUCCCUACAAAGAGCGAAACGGCUCAGACAGUGGCUAAGAAACCACUGGAGGACAUCCUACCCAGGUACGGAUUCCCAGUGAUGACUUGUUCAGAUAACGGACCUGCGUUCGUUUCUGAGCUUUACAGAAGAUCCAUGAAGAAGUGUGGCCCAAACUAAAAGACCUGUACGGAACAGGGCCAUCUCCGACACCUCUCAGCUACAGGCCAGGCGACUGGGUGCUAGUAAAACGUCACCGGAGGGAAAACUUGGAACCCAGGUGGAAGGGACCCUUCCAGGUCAUCCUAACGACUCGACCGCUCUCAAGGUAGACGGAGUGUCCUCCUGGGUCCACCAUGUCCACGCCAAACUGGCAAACCUGUUCCCAGACAUCAUAAACCCCCCCUGGAUGAAUGGGCCUGGAGAGUCGACAAAACUCAAGCCAAGAACAAUCCUCUGAAGCUUAAACUGCACCGCAUUCCCCAGGCGGUAAAGCACUAGAACAAUGAGGCCUGACCUCAUAAUCCUACUGAUUCUUUUUUUUAAUUUAUUUUUUAUUUUAUUUCUUAUUUUUUGACAGGCAGAGUGGACAGUGCGAGAGACAGAGAGAAAGGUCUUCCUUUUGCUGUUGGUUCACCCUCCAAUGGCUGCAGCGGCCGGCGCGCUGCGGCCGGAGCACCGCGCUGAUCCGAAGGCAGGAGCCAGGUGCUUCUCCUGGUCUCCCAUGGGGUGCAGGGCCCAAGCACUUGGGCCGUCCUCCACUGCACUCCCUGGCCACAGCAGAGAGCUGGCCUGGAAGAGGGGCAACCGGGAGAGAAUCGGGCACCCCAACCGGGACUAGAACCCGGUGUGCCGGUGCCGCAAGGCGGAGGAUUAGCCUAGUGAGCCGCGGCGCCGGCCCUACUAAUUCUGUCUACUUGGUGGGAGGGUGACUUUGGACAUCAUUCCUCACCAACCUCCACCAGGCUCCUGGACCUUGAGUGUGUCGGGAAGAGUCAUUGACCGCUAUAAUGGCACGGGGCAGCCCACGUCACCGUAGAUCGCUGCACCCUAUGGCAGGAAGUGGACACGAGGCUCAUCUCCAGGCCCGGAGCUAGGACAUUUACCUCUCCAGCCAAUUGGCAUUGGAUUCCUGGGGUAAAAUUGGUGGGGUGCGGGCAAGCUGGUGUAGAGGCCGACCUACAACAAACUAAAUGGUAUGUCUGUCCUGCCGAAGCUUCCCCAGACUGUGGGGGGGCAGGCGAUUAUUACUGCUAUCACUGGGGAUGUGAGACAAUAGCCUCAUGGUUGACUCCUAGGGACAAAAAUCUGGAGAUGGCCAGAGUGGGUGGGUCAAGUCCUCAAGUGGGAAGAAGAAACCCAAUCCAAAUUAAGGUAAAAACGUGGCAAGAAAUACAGAAUUCCCAAUGGGUUAAGGGAAAAACAUGGGGACUGAGACUAUAUGUCUCCGGGUCUGACCCGGGCAUUCAGUUUACAAUCCAGUGGCGGUCUCAACCGAGCCACACAAUUGGGGUGGGGCCGAAUAAGUUCCUUAUUCCCGAGCCUGAGCCCUCGCCAACCCAAAGACCCAGACCCAAUCCAAGUCCUCCUCCCCGAGUGAAAAAGGGCAAGGACCGGCCCAUUAUGACCAGCCGAGGCAAAGGUUCAAAAUCAGGAGGCGCGCAAAGACAGGGCCCGACCUGCCUCGGCCAGUAACAGGAAAAAGUCAGAACCCCAGCAAUCUGGUCCGCUGUGGCGACUCUUAAAUAGCGCAUAUAUAGCCUUGAACGCUUCUUUCCCUAACUUAACUAAUUCCUGCUGGCUGUGUUAUCAGGCCUCGCCACCCUAUUAUGAGGCGUCAGCUGUGACAAGUCUCUCACUCUCUGGGACAACCCAAGAGGGCUGCCGCUGGCAGAGACAGAUGGAAUCUGGGACCACCUUACAGGUCGUGCGGGGUCGGGGAACAUGCAUAUCCACAGUUUCUACUGGAUCGAUGUGUAGCCACACUGUCCUCAGCACCGCCUCCCUGUUCUACCCAGCGCCAGGAAAUACGCGGUGGGCCUGUAAUGCUUCGGGAGUGACUCCGUGUGUGUCAGGGACAGUGUUACAAAGUAAUAAUGAAUGGUGCCUUCUAGUUAGAUUGUACCCUCGAAUAAUAUAUCAUCCCUAUGAAGAACUCCUGUCCAGCCUAAAGCCCACCAUGUCACUCAGCAGAGAGCGCCGGGAAGUGGCAGCCGCUUUUAUCACUGUAGCUGGCCUGUUAGGGCUCGCAGGGACAGGGCUGGGAGCCACUGCAGUAGCCAAGCAAGGAAGCCAGUAUUCAGCUCUCCGACUGGCGAUAGAUGAAGACUUAGCGAGAAUUGACCGAUCUAUCGCUGGCUAACCAAGUCUCUCUGAUCCCUGUCAGAAGUUGUCCUCCAAAACAGACGAGGACUGGACAUGCUGUUUCUACAGCAGGGAGGACUGUGUGCCGCCUUGGGGGAGGAGUGUUGUUUCUAUGCCGACCACACAGGGUAGUAGAGGACUCCAUGGCUAAAGUACGCGAGGGGCUAGAAAAAAGAAAAAGAGAAAGGGAACAACAAGAAGGAUGGUUUGAAUCAUGGUUUAAUUAUUCUCCUUGGCUAACAACCUUAUUAUCGGCUAUAACUGGCCCUCUACUUUUGUUAAUAAUAAUCUUAACUAUAGGCCCCUGUGUGAUUAACAAACUAGUAACAUUUGUUAAAGACAGGAUAAACACGGUUCAGCUUAUAGUGCUGCGGACACAGUACCAACCCUUAGAUGAACAGGAAUUAUAAAGCUUAAGACCUGUAAAGGAGCCAAGAUUGGCUCCAAAUAAGUCCCAUGUGAAAGGGGGGAAUGAGAAGUCACCUGCACAACCAGCUUUUACUACGCCCUUAUUAUCCAUUACCUAAAGUGUAGCCACAUUAGCUUGUUAAGCAACUAUUAGUAAUAAUAAGCAAUGCUAGAUGUCGUUGACUUUAUAAUAUGUAUUAUGUUAGAUGUGGAGCUAAGUAAUCCAGUAACUAUAUUAAGUUGAUGAUUGAAUGACCUGAACCACUGCCCGUUCCUGGCACUCGCUAUAGUAUACUCCCCUUCCCUCCAUCUGGCCAGAUGUGACCCUACCCUGACCCAGAUCCAGGAAUGUACAGUAAUUGCCUAUGCCUAUAAGGUUCAAAGCUUUAGAUAACAACCAGCCACUACCCCGGAGUCGGCGGGGUAGCGAUGUUGGGAUUUAUCAGAAGUGUCAACUUGAUCUAUAGCAUUCCCUUAAAGCCUGCUUGUACAUGAUAAUAAAAGCUUUGUAAGAAUCGGGCUCGGGGCUUCUCGGGUGCAUCCUCUCCUGGAGGCACUGAGAGGCCGGGUUCGAACUCGUAAUAAAAACGACCCUGCUAAUUGGCUUC
Oryctolagus cuniculus (rabbit) is the source of this 3811-nucleotide non-coding RNA. The record is from RefSeq and is a predicted model, not a curated record. Lineage: Eukaryota; Metazoa; Chordata; Mammalia; Lagomorpha; Leporidae.